RNAcentral lists this ribosomal RNA (423 nucleotides) under uncultured bacterium. Its description in RNAcentral is "partial 16S ribosomal RNA". It matches the Rfam family "Bacterial small subunit ribosomal RNA", at positions 360 to 775 of the family's 1533-position model. The record is from RNAcentral.
AAUUUUGGACAAUGGGGGAAACCCUGACCUAGCCAGCCCGCGUGUAUGCUGAAUGCCUACUGGUUGUAAAGAACUUCUGGCAGAGAAGAAAAGGCAUCUCCUAAUACGAGAUACUGCUGACGGUAGCUGCAGAAUAAGCACCGGAUCACUACGUGCCAGCCGCCGCGGUAAUACGUAGGGUGCAAGCGUUAAUCGGAAUUCCUGGGCGUAAAGCGUGUGUAGGCGGUUCGGAAAGAAAGAUGUGACAUCCCAGGGCUCAACCUUGGAACUGCAUUUUUAACUGCCGAGCUAGAGUAUGUCAGAGGGGGGUAGAAUUCCACGUGUAGCAGUGAAAUGCGUAGAUAUGUGGAGGAAUACCGAUGGCGAAGGCAGCCCCCUGGGAUAAUACUGACGCUCAGACACGAAAGCGUGGGGAGCAAACAG